This 482-nucleotide ribosomal RNA is filed under the name uncultured bacterium. Its description in RNAcentral is "bacterial SSU rRNA". It matches the Rfam family "Bacterial small subunit ribosomal RNA", at positions 29 to 521 of the family's 1533-position model. The record is from RNAcentral.
AACGAACGCUGGCGGCAUGCCUAACACAUGCAAGUCGAACGAGACCUUCGGGUCUAGUGGCGCACGGGUGCGUAACGCGUGGGAAUCUGCCCUUGGGUUCGGAAUAACAGUUAGAAAUGACUGCUAAUACCGGAUAAUGUCUUCGGACCAAAGAUUUAUCGCCCAGGGAUGAGCCCGCGUAGGAUUAGCUAGUUGGUGAGGUAAAGGCUCACCAAGGCGACGAUCCUUAGCUGGUCUGAGAGGAUGAUCAGCCACACUGGGACUGAGACACGGCCCAGACUCCUACGGGAGGCAGCAGUGGGGAAUUUUGGACAAUGGGGGGAAACCCUGAUCCAGCAAUGCCGCGUGAGUGAAGAAGGCCUUCGGGUUGGUUAAAGGACUCUUUUGUUCAGGGAAGAAACGGUAGAGGGCGUAAUAUCCUUUGUCUAAUGACGGUACCGUGAAGAAUAAGCACCGGCUAACUACGUGCCAGCAGCCGCGGU